Molecule: long non-coding RNA, 1500 nt
Organism: Engraulis encrasicolus (European anchovy)
Lineage: Eukaryota; Metazoa; Chordata; Actinopteri; Clupeiformes; Engraulidae
Exons: 2
Source: RefSeq, a predicted model, not a curated record
UCUGACGCUGCGGCACACGUCACCACGCCGCUCGUAGAGGCUUAUGGGAAGUCUCUUCAUAAACACUGCCAGUGGCUAGUAUUCGGUAAGCCUGCAAAGUUCUCCUUUGCGCGUUUCAUCGCCACCGGCGAAUGCUGUGGUUGCUUCUCCCCUCGCCGUCGAGAGGAGUGCGGUGUCCAGUUCAGAUCUAGGAGAUGUGGACCAUUUCUUGUCCUCGUGAGUAUGUGGACCAUUUCUUGUCGCUGUUUAUGUGCUAGCCAGCAGCUAGUGGCUAACUUCGCGUCUGCUGUUCUAUAGGUUGUGAUUCCAACUUGGCGUCUCUUACUUGGCUAGAGUGAUCUCUUGCUUCUCCACUGGCAAGGACUUCGGUGGACAAUACCAACGGUUACCUUGCGCAUUUCCCGUCUCCUGCACGCCGCGUGUGGUCGCUACCGGCGCCUCGGCCGUGUACCUCUGUAUUGGCACUCCGACUGUGAGAAUCGCGCAUCGGUGCACCCUCAUCUCCGGGUAAGGUAACCUCUCGGCAGCAGAAUCGUGUCAUAGUGGGUGUCCUGCUAGCUUGGCUAACGCUCUCCUCCUCCCUCGCAGGUUGUAUCCGUGUGGCCGUGGUCAGACACACCACGCGUUUAGGUGCACGAGCGGCGACUUUUAGCCCCGGUUGUGUGGUGCCUCUGGAAGCCGGGAACCCGUAUCUCGGCUGCUGCUCCGGCCUCGGGAAAUUGGACAUUCGUGUGUGUGUGUGUGUGCGUUGGCGCGCUUAGUUCAGUGUGUGUGUGUGUGUGUGUGGGCGCUCGGCUCGGUGUGAGCCGGCGUGUGAGCCAUUCCACAGUGUGUGUGCGUGUGUGUACGUUGGUGCGUGUGAGUGUGUGUGGGGAUACCUAGGGGACUGCACUGAGCUGAGCCUCUGGGGUUGGUUUACCUCAUGUUUUGGUUUUCGUUUUCUUUCGUUUGCUGUGCCUAAUUUCCUUUUUUUUCAUUAUUUCAUUCAAUUAUCUAAUUUCUUAUUUAACUGCAUGUGUUAAUUGGAUUUUGAUUUAUUUUGCAUGGUUUGCUAUGAUUUCUUGUUGUUUCUGUUUGCCGUGAAUUAUUUCUGUUUGUUGUGAACUAUUUCUUUACUUUUUCUUUUGUUAAUCCUGAGGUGUGCCAUUCGCCCUACUGUGUUAGCCGUGCCAGCCCCUAGUGGCAAAGCCUGACAACCUGAGUGUAAGUUCUAAGGCCUUGGGCCUACCAGGUGUGUUGUUUAUUGUGAAUUAAGGAACAUACUUUGGGGCAGGUGUUUACAGAUCCGCGGGUGUGGUGGCAGCACACCCACCCCUGCACUUUACUGUUAACGUGAACAUACUUUGGGGCAAGUGUUUAUCUAUCUGCGGGUGAUUGCGACAGCACACCCACCCCACUGCACUUUGUGAAUUGUGAGUACCUUUUUAUAUUUUAUUACAAAGAGUGAAAAUAUAUUUUUAUAACGCAAAGAAUAAUAAAGAUUUGAAUUAUUAAUUGUCA